This 498-nucleotide ribosomal RNA is filed under the name uncultured bacterium. RNAcentral describes it as "partial 16S ribosomal RNA". It matches the Rfam family "Bacterial small subunit ribosomal RNA", at positions 30 to 523 of the family's 1533-position model. The record is from RNAcentral.
AUUGAACGCUGGCGGCAUGCCUUACACAUGCAAGUCGAACGGUAACAGGUCUUCGGGUGCUGACGAGUGGCGAACGGGUGAGUAAUACAUCGGAACGUGCCCGAUCGUGGGGGAUAACGAAGCGAAAGCUUUGCUAAUACCGCAUACGAUCUACGGAUGAAAGCAGGGGACCGCAAGGCCUUGCGCGAACGGAGCGGCCGAUGGCAGAUUAGGUAGUUGGUGGGAUAAAGGCUUACCAAGCCGACGAUCUGUAGCUGGUCUGAGAGGACGACCAGCCACACUGGGACUGGGACACGGCCCAGACUCCUACGGGAGGCAGCAGUGGGGAAUUUUGGACAAUGGGCGAAAGCCUGAUCCAGCCAUGCCGCGUGCAGGAUGAAGGCCUUCGGGUUGUAAACUGCUUUUGUACGGAACGAAAAGACUCUGGUUAAUACCUGGGGUCCAUGACGGUACCGUAAGAAUAAGCACCGGCUAACUACGUGCCAGCAGCCGCCGUAA